GAUGACUGUAGGUGAAAGCUUACAUCUCUUCGGAGCAUUUUACGAGGUGCUGCAUGGUUGUCGUCAGCUCGUGCCGUGAGGUGUCGGGUUAAGUCCCAUAACGAGCGCAACCCCUACCUUUAGUGCCAUCAGGUUAAGCUGGGGACUCUAAAGGAACUGCCUACGCAAGUAGUGAGGAAGGCGGGGAUGACGUCAAAUCAGCACGGCCCUUACGUCCAGGGCUACGCACGUGCUACAAUGGCCGAUACAGAGGGCAGCUACCUGGUGACAGGAUGCAAAUCUCCAAAGUCGGUCUCAGUUCGGAUCGGAGUCUGCAACCCGACUCCGUGAAGUUGGAUUCGCUAGUAAUCGCGCAUCAGCCAUGGCGCGGUGAAUACGUUCCCGGGCCUU
This 390-nucleotide ribosomal RNA is filed under the name uncultured Sphingobacteriales bacterium. RNAcentral's name for it is "bacterial SSU rRNA". It matches the Rfam family "Bacterial small subunit ribosomal RNA", at positions 990 to 1382 of the family's 1533-position model. Lineage: Bacteria; Pseudomonadati; Bacteroidota; Sphingobacteriia; Sphingobacteriales. The record is from RNAcentral.